Molecule: ribosomal RNA, 925 nt
Filed under: Bacillus subtilis
Lineage: Bacteria; Bacillati; Bacillota; Bacilli; Caryophanales; Bacillaceae
Description: bacterial SSU rRNA
Rfam family: Bacterial small subunit ribosomal RNA
Source: RNAcentral
CGUAAGGGCUCGCAGGCGGUUUCUUAAGUCUGAUGUGAAAGCCCCCGGCUCAACCGGGGAGGGUCAUUGGAAACUGGGGAACUUGAGUGCAGAAUAGGAGAGUGGAAUUCCACGUGUAGCGGUGAAAUGCGUAGAGAUGUGGAGGAACACCAGUGGCGAAGGCGACUCUCUGGUCUGUAACUGACGCUGAGGAGCGAAAGCGUGGGGAGCGAACAGGAUUAGAUACCCUGGUAGUCCACGCCGUAAACGAUGAGUGCUAAGUGUUAGGGGGUUUCCGCCCCUUAGUGCUGCAGCUAACGCAUUAAGCACUCCGCCUGGGGAGUACGGUCGCAAGACUGAAACUCAAAGGAAUUGACGGGGGCCCGCACAAGCGGUGGAGCAUGUGGUUUAAUUCGAAGCAACGCGAAGAACCUUACCAGGUCUUGACAUCCUCUGACAAUCCUAGAGAUAGGACGUCCCCUUCGGGGGCAGAGUGACAGGUGGUGCAUGGUUGUCGUCAGCUCGUGUCGUGAGAUGUUGGGUUAAGUCCCGCAACGAGCGCAACCCUUGAUCUUAGUUGCCAGCAUUCAGUUGGGCACUCUAAGGUGACUGCCGGUGACAAACCGGAGGAAGGUGGGGAUGACGUCAAAUCAUCAUGCCCCUUAUGACCUGGGCUACACACGUGCUACAAUGGGCAGAACAAAGGGCAGCGAAACCGCGAGGUUAAGCCAAUCCCACAAAUCUGUUCUCAGUUCGGAUCGCAGUCUGCAACUCGACUGCGUGAAGCUGGAAUCGCUAGUAAUCGCGGAUCACAUGCCGGGGGAAAAACCUUUCCCGGGCCUUUGUACACACCGCCCGUCACACCACGAAGAGUUUGUAACACCCGAAGUCGGUGAGGUAACCUUUAUGGAGCCAGCCGCCGAAGGUGGGACAGAUGAUUGGGGUG